UGUGGGAGCGAGCCUGCUCGCGAUGGCGUCGGGUCAGUCAGCUUGGAUGUGACUGAUACUCCGCCAUCGCGAGCAGGCUCGCUCCCACA
Molecule: unclassified non-coding RNA, 89 nt
Filed under: Pseudomonas thivervalensis
Lineage: Bacteria; Pseudomonadati; Pseudomonadota; Gammaproteobacteria; Pseudomonadales; Pseudomonadaceae
Source: RNAcentral